This 465-nucleotide ribosomal RNA is filed under the name uncultured Klebsiella sp. RNAcentral describes it as "bacterial SSU rRNA". It matches the Rfam family "Bacterial small subunit ribosomal RNA", at positions 338 to 795 of the family's 1533-position model. The record is from RNAcentral. Lineage: Bacteria; Pseudomonadati; Pseudomonadota; Gammaproteobacteria; Enterobacterales; Enterobacteriaceae.
CCUACGGGCGGCUGCAGUGGGGAAUAUUGCACAAUGGGCGCAAGCCUGAUGCAGCCAUGCCGCGUGUGUGAAGAAGGCCUUCGGGUUGUAAAGCACUUUCAGCGGGGAGGAAGGCGGUGAGGUUAAUAACCUCAUCGAUUGACGUUACCCGCAGAAGAAGCACCGGCUAACUCCGUGCCAGCAGCCGCGGUAAUACGGAGGGUGCAAGCGUUAAUCGGAAUUACUGGGCGUAAAGCGCACGCAGGCGGUCUGUCAAGUCGGAUGUGAAAUCCCCGGGCUCAACCUGGGAACUGCAUUAGAAACUGGCAGGCUAGAGUCUUGUAGAGGGGGGUAGAAUUCCAGGUGUAGCGGUGAAAUGCGUAGAGAUCUGGAGGAAUACCGGUGGCGAAGGCGGCCCCCUGGACAAAGACUGACGCUCAGGUGCGAAAGCGUGGGGAGCAAACAGGAUUAGAUACCCCUGUAGUC